GCGUGUGUGAAGAAGGCUUUCGGGUUGUAAAGCACUUUCAGUGGGGAAGAAGGCCUGGCGGUUAAUACCCGUCAGGGACGACAUCACCCACAGAAGAAGCACCGGCUAACUCCGUGCCAGCAGCCGCGGUAAUACGGAGGGUGCGAGCGUUAAUCGGAAUUACUGGGCGUAAAGCGCGCGUAGGCGGCUUGAUAAGCCGGGUGUGAAAGCCCUGGGCUCAACCUGGGAACGGCAUCCGGAACUGUCAAGCUAGAGUGCAGGAGAGGAAGGUAGAAUUCCCGGUGUAGCGGUGAAAUGCGUAGAGAUCGGGAGGAAUACCAGUGGCGAAGGCGGCCUUCUGGACUGACACUGACGCUGAGGUGCGAAAGCGUGGGUAGCAAACAGGAUUAGAUACCCUGGUAGUCCACGCCGUAAACGAUGUCGACUAGCCGUUGGGCUCCUCGCGAGCUUAGUGGCGCAGUUAACGCGAUAAGUCGACCGCCUGGGGAGUACGGCCGCAAGGUUAAAACUCAAAUGAAUUGACGGGGGCCCGCACAAGCGGUGGAGCAUGUGGUUUAAUUCGAUGCAACGCGAAGAACCUUACCUACCCUUGACAUCCUCGGAAUCCGCCGGAGACGGUGGAGUGCCUUCGGGAACCGAGUGACAGGUGCUGCAUGGCUGUCGUCAGCUCGUGUUGUGAAAUGUUGGGUUAAGUCCCGUAACGAGCGCAACCCUUGUCCCUAUUUGCCAGCGAUUCGGUCGGGAACUCUAGGGAGACUGCCGGUGACAAACCGGAGGAAGGUGGGGACGACGUCAAGUCAUCAUGGCCCU
Molecule: ribosomal RNA, 810 nt
Filed under: Modicisalibacter xianhensis
Lineage: Bacteria; Pseudomonadati; Pseudomonadota; Gammaproteobacteria; Oceanospirillales; Halomonadaceae
Description: bacterial SSU rRNA
Rfam family: Bacterial small subunit ribosomal RNA
Source: RNAcentral